UUAAAUUGAAGAGUUUGAUCAUGGCUCAGAUUGAACGCUGGCGGCAGGCCUAACACAUGCAAGUCGAACGGUAACAGGAAGCAGCUUGCUGCUUUGCUGACGAGUGGCGGACGGGUGAGUAAUGUCUGGGAAACUGCCUGAUGGAGGGGGAUAACUACUGGAAACGGUGGCUAAUACCGCAUAACGUCGCAAGACCAAAGAGGGGGACCUUCGGGCCUCUUGCCAUCAGAUGUGCCCAGAUGGGAUUAGCUUGUUGGUGAGGUAACGGCUCACCAAGGCGACGAUCCCUAGCUGGUCUGAGAGGAUGACCAGCCACACUGGAACUGAGACACGGUCCAGACUCCUACGGGAGGCAGCAGUGGGGAAUAUUGCACAAUGGGCGCAAGCCUGAUGCAGCCAUGCCGCGUGUAUGAAGAAGGCCUUCGGGUUGUAAAGUACUUUCAGCGGGGAGGAAGGUGUUGUGGUUAAUAACCGCAGCAAUUGACGUUACCCGCAGAAGAAGCACCGGCUAACUCCGUGCCAGCAGCCGCGGUAAUACGGAGGGUGCAAGCGUUAAUCGGAAUUACUGGGCGUAAAGCGCACGCAGGCGGUCUGUCAAGUCGGAUGUGAAAUCCCCGGGCUCAACCUGGGAACUGCAUUCGAAACUGGCAGGCUUGAGUCUUGUAGAGGGGGUAGAAUUCCAGGUGUAGCGGUGAAAUGCGUAGAGAUCUGGAGGAAUACCGGUGGCGAAGGCGGCCCCCUGGACAAAGACUGACGCUCAGGUGCGAAAGCGUGGGGAGCAAACAGGAUUAGAUACCCUGGUAGUCCACGCCGUAAACGAUGUCUACUUGGAGGUUGUGCCCUUGAGGCGUGGCUUCCGGAGCUAACGCGUUAAGUAGACCGCCUGGGGAGUACGGCCGCAAGGUUAAAACUCAAAUGAAUUGACGGGGGCCCGCACAAGCGGUGGAGCAUGUGGUUUAAUUCGAUGCAACGCGAAGAACCUUACCUGGUCUUGACAUCCACAGAACUUUCCAGAGAUGGAUUGGUGCCUUCGGGAACUGUGAGACAGGUGCUGCAUGGCUGUCGUCAGCUCGUGUUGUGAAAUGUUGGGUUAAGUCCCGCAACGAGCGCAACCCUUAUCCUUUGUUGCCAGCGAUUAGGUCGGGAACUCAAAGGAGACUGCCAGUGAUAAACUGGAGGAAGGUGGGGAUGACGUCAAGUCAUCAUGGCCCUUACGACCAGGGCUACACACGUGCUACAAUGGCGCAUACAAAGAGAAGCGACCUCGCGAGAGCAAGCGGACCUCAUAAAGUGCGUCGUAGUCCGGAUUGGAGUCUGCAACUCGACUCCAUGAAGUCGGAAUCGCUAGUAAUCGUGGAUCAGAAUGCCACGGUGAAUACGUUCCCGGGCCUUGUACACACCGCCCGUCACACCAUGGGAGUGGGUUGCAAAAGAAGUAGGUAGCUUAACCUUCGGGAGGGCGCUUACCACUUUGUGAUUCAUGACUGGGGUGAAGUCGUAACAAGGUAACCGUAGGGGAACCUGCGGUUGGAUCACCUCCUUACCUUAAAGAA
Molecule: ribosomal RNA, 1553 nt
Filed under: Salmonella enterica subsp. enterica serovar Ouakam str. SA20034636
Lineage: Bacteria; Pseudomonadati; Pseudomonadota; Gammaproteobacteria; Enterobacterales; Enterobacteriaceae
Description: bacterial SSU rRNA
Rfam family: Bacterial small subunit ribosomal RNA
Source: RNAcentral